CCCUCUCUCUCCUUUUUUUAGGGUAAUCCCUAACCGUCUCUUUUUUCUUUUUUUUUUCUCCUUUUUUCACCUGAGGAUUUGGAUCUCAUUACCAAACCAAUCUAUAUCUUUUCUCUUUUUCAACUCAAACAUUUGUCUCCACCCCUUUUCGGUGUUUUGAUCCCAUUGUUUUUGACAUGGCAGAUAUGAUUGAUCCAGAUUGGAAAAUGGCAAUUUUGCACAACACCGUGCGAGAACUUGAAAGGCAUAUUCAUGAACUCUAGUGGGAGUUGCGCGCCAUGAGAGCAAGGCCGCUUUAUGAGAUUCGAAGGCUGAGGAGGGCCCUAUUGUUGUCGGUUGACGAUUGGUCGGUUGACAAUAAUAAUAAUAAUAAUAGUUGUAAUAAUAAUAAUAAUAAUAAUAAUUAGGUUAUGUUUUUUCUUUUUAGGAUAUGUAUUCUAUUUUAUUUAUAUUGGAUCUACCUAAACCUAAUUUAUGUUUUGUUCUAUUUUGUUUCGUAUUUUUGUAUGUAAUGAAUGAAAAAAUCUAUGUUUGGCCGA
Capsicum annuum is the source of this 539-nucleotide long non-coding RNA. RefSeq lists it as uncharacterized. Lineage: Eukaryota; Viridiplantae; Streptophyta; Magnoliopsida; Solanales; Solanaceae. The transcript is spliced from 2 exons. The record is from RefSeq and is a predicted model, not a curated record.